CAGCAGCCGCGGUAAAACCGAGGAUGCAAGCGUUAUCCGGAAUGAUUGGGCGUAAAGCGUCUGUAGGUGGCUUUUCAAGUCCGCCGUCAAAUCCCAGGGCUCAACCCUGGACAGGCGGUGGAAACUACUAAGCUGGAGUACGGUAGGGGCAGAGGGAAUUUCCGGUGGAGCGGUGAAAUGCGUUGAGAUCGGAAGGGACGCCCGUGGCGAAAGCGGGGUCCUGGACCCUUUCUGACGCUGAGACGCGAAAGCCAGGGGAGCGAACGGGAUUAGAUACCCCUGUAGUCCCUGUCUCUUAUAC
This 301-nucleotide ribosomal RNA is filed under the name uncultured bacterium. Its description in RNAcentral is "partial 16S ribosomal RNA". It matches the Rfam family "Bacterial small subunit ribosomal RNA", at positions 509 to 807 of the family's 1533-position model. The record is from RNAcentral.